GCCGAGGUGGUGGAACUGGUAGACACGUACGCUUGAGGGGCGUAUAACGCAAGUUGUGCAGGUUCAAGUCCUGUCCUCGGCACCA
RNAcentral lists this transfer RNA (85 nucleotides) under Candidatus Marinamargulisbacteria bacterium SCGC AG-343-D04. RNAcentral describes it as "tRNA-Leu". It matches the Rfam family "tRNA". From Rfam's summary of the family: Transfer RNA (tRNA) molecules are approximately 80 nucleotides in length. Their secondary structure includes four short double-helical elements and three loops (D, anti-codon, and T loops). Lineage: Bacteria; Bacillati; Candidatus Margulisiibacteriota; Candidatus Marinamargulisbacteria. The record is from RNAcentral.